AUUGAACGCUGGCGGCAGGCCUAACACAUGCAAGUCGAGCGGAUGAAGGGAGCUUGCUCCUGGAUUCAGCGGCGGACGGGUGAGUAAUGCCUAGGAAUCUGCCUGGUAGUGGGGGAUAACGUCCGGAAACGGGCGCUAAUACCGCAUACGUCCUGAGGGAGACAGUGGGGGAUCUUCGGAUCUCACGCUAUCAGAUGAGCCUAGGUCGGGUUAGCUAGUUGGUGGGGUAAAGGCCUACCAAGGCGACGAUCCGUAACUGGUCUGAGAGGAUGAUCAGUCACACUGGAACUGAAACACGGUCCAGACUCCUACGGGGGGCAGCAGUGGGGAAUAUUGGACGAUGGGCGAAAGCCUGAUCCAGCCAUGCCGCGUGUGAAGAAGGUCUUCGGAUUGUAAAACACUUUAAGUUGGGAGGAAGGGCAGUAAGUUAAUACCUUGCUGUUUUGACGUUACCAACAGAAUAAGCACCGGCUAACUUCGUG
RNAcentral lists this ribosomal RNA (482 nucleotides) under uncultured bacterium. Its description in RNAcentral is "partial 16S ribosomal RNA". It matches the Rfam family "Bacterial small subunit ribosomal RNA", at positions 30 to 507 of the family's 1533-position model. The record is from RNAcentral.